CCUGAGACGUGAUGCGUAGCCGAUUGAGGCGAAGUAGAGUGAUCCCAUGCUGCCGAGAAAAGCCUCUAGCGAGCUUUCACGCGGCCCGUACCCCAAACCGACACAGGUGGUCAGGUAGAGAAUACCGAGGCGAUCGGGCGAACUGUGGUUAAGGAACUCGGCAAAAUGCCCCCGUAACUUCGGGAGAAGGGGGGCCGUAGCGCUUGAAGCUCUUUACGGGCUAGGGCGAGACGGCCGCAGAGACCAGCGAGAAGCGACUGUUUACUAAAAACACAGGUCCAUGCGAAGUCGCAAGACGAUGUAUAUGGACUGACGCCUGCCCGGUGCUGGAACGUUAAGGGGACCGGUUAGUCCGCAAGGGCGAAGCUGAGAACUUAAGCGCCAGUAAACGGCGGUGGUAACUAUAACCAUCCUAAGGUAGCGAAAUUCCUUGUCGGGUAAGUUCCGACCUGCACGAAUGGCGUAACGACUUCUCGACUGUCUCAACCGCAGGCCCGGCGAAAUUGCAUUACGAGUAAAGAUGCUCGUUACGCGCGGCAGGACGGAAAGACCCCGGGACCUUUACUAUAGCUUGGUAUUGGUGUUCGAUUCGGCUUGUGUAGGAUAGGUGGGAGACUGUGAAGUGGCCACGCCAGUGGUUGCGGAGUCGUCGUUGAAAUACCACUCUGGUCGUAUUGGAUGUCUAACCUCGGUCCGUGAUCCGGAUCAGGGACAGUGCCUGGUGGGUAGUUUAACUGGGGCGGUUGCCUCCCAAAGAGUAACGGAGGCGCUCAAAGGUUCCCUCAGCCUGGUUGGCAAUCAGGUGUUGAGUGCAAGUGCACAAGGGAGCUUGACUGUGAGACUGACGGGUCGAGCAGGGACGAAAGUCGGAACUAGUGAUCCGGCCAUGGCUUGUGGAAGCGUGGUCGCUCAACGGAUAAAAGGUACCCCGGGGAUAACAGGCUGAUCUUGCCCAAGAGUCCAUAUCGACGGCAUGGUUUGGCACCUCGAUGUCGGCUCGUCGCAUCCUGGGGCUGGAGUAGGUCCCAAGGGUUGGGCUGUUCGCCCAUUAAAGCGGUACGCGAGCUGGGUUUAGAACGUCGUGAGACAGUUCGGUCCCUAUCCGCCGCGCGCGUAGGAUACUUGAGGAAGGCUGUCCCUAGUACGAGAGGACCGGGACGGACGGACCGCUGGUGUGCCAGUUGUUCUGCCAAGAGCAUUGCUGGUUGGCUACGUUCGGAAGGGAUAACCGCUGAAGGCAUCUAAGCGGGAAGCUCGUUCCAAGAUGAGGUAUCCCACUCUUCGUGAGUUAAGGCCCCCAGCUAGACCACUGGGUUGAUAGGCCAGAGGUGGAAGACCGGUAACGGUUGGAGCUGACUGGUACUAAUAGGCCGAGGACUUGUUACAAA
RNAcentral lists this ribosomal RNA (1388 nucleotides) under Lentzea aerocolonigenes. RNAcentral's name for it is "bacterial LSU rRNA". It matches the Rfam family "Bacterial large subunit ribosomal RNA", at positions 1555 to 2925 of the family's 2925-position model. Lineage: Bacteria; Bacillati; Actinomycetota; Actinomycetes; Pseudonocardiales; Pseudonocardiaceae. The record is from RNAcentral.